RNAcentral lists this ribosomal RNA (346 nucleotides) under uncultured bacterium. RNAcentral describes it as "partial 16S ribosomal RNA". It matches the Rfam family "Bacterial small subunit ribosomal RNA", at positions 338 to 699 of the family's 1533-position model. The record is from RNAcentral.
CCUACGGGCGGCAGCAGUGGGGAAUAUUGGGCAAUGGGCGCAAGCCUGACCCAGCAACGCCGCGUGAAGGAAGAAGGCUUUCGGGUUGUAAACUUCUUUUUACAGGGAAGAGUAGAAGACGGUACCUGUCGAAUAAGCCACGGCUAACUACGUGCCAGCAGCCGCGUGAAUACGGAGGUGGCAAGCGUUGUCCGGAUUUACUGGGUGUAAAGGGCGUGUAGGCGGGUUGACAAGUCAGAGGUGAAAUCCGGCGGCUUAACCGCAGCACUGCAUUUGAUACUGUUGAUCUUGAGUACUGGAGCGGCAGGCGGAAUGCCUGGUGUAGCGGUGAAAUGCGUAGAUAUUA